Small nucleolar RNA from Bison bison bison, 56 nucleotides. The record is from Ensembl. Lineage: Eukaryota; Metazoa; Chordata; Mammalia; Artiodactyla; Bovidae.
GGGCUGAUGAAGGCUGGCACCUGGGCCCCCUCCCCAACUCUGCUCUGCUCCUGAAG